GACGAGGUACCUCGUCAAUGGGAGUCUGUGAACCUGGUCAGGUGGGAAACUAAGCAGCCAUAAGCGGUAACUCUCAUGUGACGGGGUUUCUCGUCGAG
This 98-nucleotide signal recognition particle RNA is filed under the name Planctomycetaceae bacterium. RNAcentral's name for it is "signal recognition particle sRNA small type". It matches the Rfam family "Bacterial small signal recognition particle RNA". Rfam says of the family: The signal recognition particle (SRP) is a universally conserved ribonucleoprotein involved in the co-translational targeting of proteins to membranes. Archaeal SRP consists of a 7S RNA and homologues of the eukaryotic SRP19 and SRP54 proteins. The record is from RNAcentral. Lineage: Bacteria; Pseudomonadati; Planctomycetota; Planctomycetia; Planctomycetales; Planctomycetaceae.